GAUGAAGAACGCAGCGAAAUGCGAUACGUAAUGUGAAUUGCAGAAUUCAGUGAAUCAUCGAGUCUUUGAACGCACAUUGCGCCCCCUGGUAUUCCGGGGGGCAUGCCUGUCCGAGCGUCAUUGCUGCCCUCAAGCACGGCUUGUGUGUUGGGCCUCCGUCCUCCUCCCGGGGGACGGGCCCGAAAGGCAGCGGCGGCACCGCGUCCGGUCCUCGAGCGUAUGGGGCUUCGUCACCCGCUCUUGUAGGCCCGGCCGGCGCUUGCCGACACAUCAAUCUUUUUUCCAGGUUGACCUCGGAUCAGGUAGGGAUACCCGCUGAACUUAAGCAUAUCAAAGCGGCGGA
RNAcentral lists this unclassified non-coding RNA (343 nucleotides) under soil metagenome. Its description in RNAcentral is "partial contains 5.8S ribosomal RNA, internal transcribed spacer 2, and large subunit ribosomal RNA". The stretch from base 1 to 120 matches the Rfam family "5.8S ribosomal RNA", at positions 35 to 154 of the family's 154-position model. The record is from RNAcentral.